CUCGAUCGUUUUGGUGGAUCCAUUAUUGAUGGACCAGGGAACCAACUUUGAAUCUCUAACAUCCAAUGAAAUCUACAUCCCUAGAUCAGAGAGGGAACCAGAUUCCCCAUCAGUCCCAGAUAGUUGCGGGACACACAGAGACGUGAUGGAUGCCCAUCACAGGGUGAAUCCGGUGCAUAGCAACCGUAGUAUUUUUAGAGUCACGUAGAGUGCAUGUUAUAACCCAGCUUUACAGAGUGACUCUCUGUCUGAUUAGUUUCUUGUGUCUCUCUCUCUCAAGUCUCCGUACUUCUGGCCGUCCAACUGCUGGGAGCCUGAGAACACUGAUUAUGCCAUCUACCUGUGCAAGCGCACCAUGCAGAAUAAAGCCAGGCUGGAGCUAGCAGACUAUGAAGCCGAGAACCUCGCCAGACUUCAGAGAGCCUUCGCCCGAAAGUGGAAUUCAUCUUCAUGCAAGCCGAGGCCAAGUGAAGUGAGUGAAACGUGUAAAUGGGCACGAAAAAGCACCAAGAAAAUACAUUUUGUUCUGAAUAUGAGAUGUGCUCAUCUACAUGGAAUGCAUGCAAAAAAUUAGGGCUUUGGUUCUUCCUGCGUUCACAUUUGUGUCCAAAGAGAGGUCCUGAAUGGCACACAUGAUUAGAAUUGUUUCUCAGGCCUUAAUCCAUGCCCUCAUGCUAACAAUGUGUUUAAUUUCGGCAUAUGCUAGACACCACCACAGCAAACAUGCUAGCUUGAUUAAUUCCAUCUAUGUAAUCCCGCCACCUAGUGGUGAUUAUGGGGGAGUACAACGGUCCACACUGUUGUUAUGGGAAAAAGCAACACCACAGAAAACAGAUUUUCUCUCCCCCAUCUAGCUAGGAAACGUUUAAAGUCAGAGUGAGUAAAUAGAAAACGCUGCAUG
Molecule: long non-coding RNA, 901 nt
Organism: Gadus macrocephalus (Pacific cod)
Lineage: Eukaryota; Metazoa; Chordata; Actinopteri; Gadiformes; Gadidae
Exons: 3
Source: RefSeq, a predicted model, not a curated record